RNAcentral lists this ribosomal RNA (523 nucleotides) under uncultured bacterium. RNAcentral describes it as "bacterial SSU rRNA". It matches the Rfam family "Bacterial small subunit ribosomal RNA", at positions 524 to 1050 of the family's 1533-position model. The record is from RNAcentral.
UACGGAGGAUCCAAGCGUUAUCCGGAUUUACUGGGUUUAAAGGGUGCGUAGGCGGAUUGAUAAGUCAGUGGUGAAAUCCUGCAGCUUAACUGCAGAAUUGCCGUUGAUACUGUUAGUCUGGAGUAUGGUUGAGGUAGCUGGAACGUGUCGUGUAGCGGUGAAAUGCUUAGAGAUGACACAGAACACCAACGGCGAAGGCAGGUUACCAACCCAUUACUGACGCUGAGGCACGAAAGCGUGGGGAGCAAACAGGAUUAGAUACCCUGGUAGUCCACGCCGUAAACUAUGAUUACUAGUUGUUGGCGAUAUAUUGUCAGUGACUGAGCGAAAGCAUUAAGUAAUCCACCUGGGGAGUACGUUCGCAAGAAUGAAACUCAAAGGAAUUGACGGGGGCCCGCACAAGCGGAGGAGCAUGUGGUUUAAUUCGAUGAUACGCGAGGAACCUUACCUGGGCUCGAACGUAUGGGGAAUUAUGCCGAAAGGUAUGAGCCAGCAAUGGCCGCAUACGAGGUGCUGCAUGGUU